UAUACGGUGCUGACCCGCAUUCGCGAAAUGCAGUGCUCGUGUUAUGUAAUGUUGCGUAAAACCGGCCAUGGUUAUUGUCGUGUUCGUCCAUCCUUUGUUAUUGUCCUGGUUAGGUACUUGUCUGUAUGUGUCCGUGUGAUGGAGUAAUCAGUUAGUGUUGUUUGAGCUGUGAUAGAGUGAGCUUGACAGUGUGAGAGCGAACCGACCGACAGCUUAAGACCUAGGGGUACGGCCUGGUAUGAGAUAGGCCCGUGGUCGAUUCCUAAAAAUUUCAGUUAGGAUCGAACCCUUCGUCCAGUUUGGCAAAAUUCAGUGCCAAAAUCCAUCAUUUACCCAGUCGUCAGGUCAGAAUUGUCGGUGUACUGUAGCAACAUUCAACCUAUGGGCGCAGACUCUCCGCUCAAGUUUAUGCAACCAACAAUAACCAUGGCCGACCCCUUUGACCAGACUUUUGCUUGACCCGCUUUGCAUGAUCUGAGGGAUUUCCACUGACAGAGGACCAUUGAGCCUAGCAGUAGCAGUGAGCACCAGAUCAACCGUCGGGUCGCUGAACGGCGAGUUACAAGUAACUCAAAGGAGUUCCAUUGAACCCCUUCGUAAAUAAGAACUGUUUGGGGAAAUAAUAUACAAAAUUGUAAUUCAACUCGAAAAGAAGUAGAAGAAGACAUAUUGGUCAGUGAUUUUAAUUGGUAAUUAUUGCAUUGUGUUUAUCAAGAAAUUAACGGAAGCAAAUCAUUGUACAAAAGCAAUUGGAUACUAUUUAAAGAAUUGUCAAAACCCAAGAUAGGGUGAAGAAGUACUGUAAGACCUUAUUCUCGACAUCAAGAUCGUUUGUAAAUAAAUUGUAAAUAAGUUUCUGGUAAA
Molecule: long non-coding RNA, 864 nt
Filed under: Patiria miniata (bat star)
Lineage: Eukaryota; Metazoa; Echinodermata; Asteroidea; Valvatida; Asterinidae
Description: uncharacterized LOC119722156
Source: RNAcentral